Molecule: transfer RNA, 90 nt
Filed under: Lentisphaerota bacterium
Lineage: Bacteria; Pseudomonadati; Lentisphaerota
Also listed under: 1 other name
Description: Lentisphaerae bacterium (anaerobic digester metagenome) tRNA-Ser
Rfam family: tRNA
About the family: Transfer RNA (tRNA) molecules are approximately 80 nucleotides in length. Their secondary structure includes four short double-helical elements and three loops (D, anti-codon, and T loops).
Source: RNAcentral
GGAGAGAUGGCGGAGUGGCUUAACGCGCCGGUCUUGAAAACCGGAUCCCGCGCAAGCGGGACGGGGGUUCGAAUCCCUCUCUCUCCGCCA